GGGAAAAGACGGCCAUUGUUUCAAUUUUUAGGGGGGAUAUCUUUUGGUAGUCUACAUACAAAGAAUGAGCAAAAGAACAGCUAGAACAUAUAGAAAGGCUGACAAUAAUGAAACUAAUUGUUGUUUAUUGUUAUUUCAUUUCCUUAGUCAAGAAUUCAUCAUAGAGACAAUUUGGACCAAUGAGAUCUGCACCUUCUAAAUCAAAACAUUUGAUUAAAGUUGGGAGUUAAUUAUCCAAAAUUCAAUUGAAUUUAACAACUACUACAAUAUACUUUAGAAUUUUAAUUAUGUACAACUGAACGGAAGGCUAAGACCAUUCUCAAUUUUUUGUGACAGUAUUCUCAAGAAAGUGAGGACUGAAAAAUCUAUUCAGUUUUAAUUUUCCAUUGAUAAAGUUCCCAGUUACAACUCUCAUCACAGGGAUACAUGUACUUAUAAAAUCAAAUAUGAUUGAUAUAAGCUGUGUGAAGUUUGUUUCCAGAUCCCACA
Molecule: long non-coding RNA, 489 nt
Filed under: Mytilus galloprovincialis (Mediterranean mussel)
Lineage: Eukaryota; Metazoa; Mollusca; Bivalvia; Mytilida; Mytilidae
Source: RNAcentral